UCUUAGUCAGUAAGGCUUCUCUUCAAACUUGGCACAAGAGGUUAGGACAUCCUCAUUCUACUGUGCUUAAGACUAUUGUAACUAGUAAUAAACUUCCUAGAGGUGUAGUGGAUACAGAUGAAGAAGGGGUAAAAGGAAGCCUGGUAGCUUUACCAAGAAUACAAUCAGUACAGUGGGGCUUAGAAAAGCUAGUAGAUAUUGAGUGCUGUAGUUUUUUAAGUUUGAUUUCUUAUGAUACCUUUCAUUGAAGAUCUUUCAGAUCUGUUCCCAUCCAGAAAAAUAGGAUAACAAAUAGAGAAAUUAGUUUUUGAAAAAGAAAAAUCAAAAGAGAGGAGAUGAGAGAAGAGAGAAGAGGAGAGAGAGCAGAGAUGAUGUAAAGUGGAUGAGGGAGACGACGAAGAGGAGAUGAAGCGAAGGAGACAACGUGAGGGAGACUUCACGUUCAGCAAGAGGAGAUGACGUGAGGUUGUCUUCGAAACCCAUGCCUCGACGUGGGUUUUGAUAUCCAGUGUAUGUUGGAUUCAUAUCCUAAACAAAAAUUGAAGUCCUAGCUAGUGUGUGAUACAAUUAAGCCCGCCAAACAACAGACUGGACCCAUGUCCAUUUUAAUUGAAAAAGUCCUAUCUAGUCCAACCAACCAAAUAGGGCCUAAGGGUGUAACCACAUGGUACUAAACUAUAGUUAACCGGGAGCUAUAGUUUUAAAACACAAUAUAGUUUACUAAU
This 725-nucleotide long non-coding RNA is filed under the name Prunus persica (peach). RNAcentral's name for it is "long non-coding RNA (PPER_LNC001929)". Lineage: Eukaryota; Viridiplantae; Streptophyta; Magnoliopsida; Rosales; Rosaceae. The record is from RNAcentral.